Molecule: ribosomal RNA, 253 nt
Filed under: uncultured bacterium
Lineage: Bacteria
Description: partial 16S ribosomal RNA
Rfam family: Bacterial small subunit ribosomal RNA
Source: RNAcentral
UACAGAGGUCUCAAGCGUUGUUCGGAAUCACUGGGCGUAAAGCGUGCGUAGGCUGUUUCGUAAGUCGUGUGUGAAAGGCGCGGGCUCAACCCGCGGACGGCACAUGAUACUGCGAGACUAGAGUAAUGGAGGGGGAACCGGAAUUCUCGGUGUAGCAGUGAAAUGCGUAGAUAUCGAGAGGAACACUCGUGGCGAAGGCGGGUUCCUGGACAUUAACUGACGCUGAGGCACGAAGGCCAGCGGAGCGAAAGGG